UACGGAGGGAGCUAGCGUUGUUCGGAAUUACUGGGCGUAAAGCGCACGUAGGCGGCUUUGUAAGUUAGAGGUGAAAGCCUGGGGCUCAACUCCAGAACUGCCUUUAAAACUGCAUCGCUUGAAUCCAGGAGAGGUGAGUGGAAUUCCGAGUGUAGAGGUGAGAUUCGUAGAUAUUCGGAAGAACACCAGUGGCGAAGGCGGCUCACUGGACUGGUAUUGACGCUGAGGUGCGAAAGCGUGGGGAGCAAACAGG
Molecule: ribosomal RNA, 253 nt
Filed under: uncultured bacterium
Lineage: Bacteria
Description: partial 16S ribosomal RNA
Rfam family: Bacterial small subunit ribosomal RNA
Source: RNAcentral